UGAUUCAAGAUAGAAUUCGUUCUCAAAGGUUUUAUUGUGUUAUCGAAGAUGGUGUAAAUCCAUCGCUGUACCCGCAACUGUGAAUGAACUGAUGUUUAUUUUUACAAUAAAUAUUAAAUCAAAGUCAGAUAGCUAACGAACAAAACUAUACUUA
This 154-nucleotide non-coding RNA is filed under the name Colwellia psychrerythraea. The record is from RNAcentral. Lineage: Bacteria; Pseudomonadati; Pseudomonadota; Gammaproteobacteria; Alteromonadales; Colwelliaceae.